GAAAAUGCUGUGCAGGCUGGGCACAGUGGCUCAUGCCUGUAAUCCCAACACUUUGGGAGGCUGAGGUGGGAGGAUUGCUUGAGCUCAGGAGGUUGAGGCUGUGGUGAGCGGAGAUCAUGCCGCUGUACUUCAGCCUGGGUGACAGAGUGAGACCCUGUCUCGAAAAAAAAAAAAAAAAAAAAAAGAAAAGAAAAAAAAAAGAAAAUGCUUCUUGACUGUCACCACUCCCCAGUUCCACACCACUCCUCAGUCCCUGCCUCCCAGCCCUUGGCAGCCAGCAAUCUGCAUUCUGUCUCUAAAAAUCUCCCCAUUCUGGACAUUUCCUAUAAAUGGGAUUGUACACUAUAUGGCCUUUUGUGUCUGGCUUCUUGUAUUCAGCAUAAUGUUUUCAAAGUUCAUCCAUGUUGCAGCAUGCAUCGGCAUUUUAUUUCUUUUUAUGAGACUGAAUAAUAUUCCAUUGUAUGGAUAUACCACAUUUUGUUUAUCCAUUCAUCAGUGGGGGACAUUGGGGUUGUUUCCACUGUUGGGGUUGUGAAUAGUGCUGCUGUGAACAUUCUUGUGCAAGCUUUUGUCUGAACAAGUGUAUUUAAUUUGUUUUAGUCUAUACUAAGAGUGGAAUUUCAGGGUCCUGUCGUGCUUCUGUGUUUAGCUUAAGGUGGAACUGCCAAACUUCCAUGGUAGCCGUACCAUUUUACAUUCCCGCUAGCAAUGUGUGAGGGAUCUCAUUUCUCCACAUCUUCACCAACACUUAUGUUUCAUUAAAGAUUUUUUAUUAUAACCACCCUA
This is a long non-coding RNA of Symphalangus syndactylus (siamang), 786 nucleotides long. RefSeq lists it as uncharacterized. The record is from RefSeq and is a predicted model, not a curated record. Lineage: Eukaryota; Metazoa; Chordata; Mammalia; Primates; Hylobatidae.